This 2759-nucleotide ribosomal RNA is filed under the name Escherichia coli. RNAcentral describes it as "partial 23S ribosomal RNA". It matches the Rfam family "Bacterial large subunit ribosomal RNA". The record is from RNAcentral. Lineage: Bacteria; Pseudomonadati; Pseudomonadota; Gammaproteobacteria; Enterobacterales; Enterobacteriaceae.
UGAAUCCAUAGGUUAAUGAGGCGAACCGGGGGAACUGAAACAUCUAAGUACCCCGAGGAAAAGAAAUCAACCGAGAUUCCCCCAGUAGCGGCGAGCGAACGGGGAGGAGCCCAGAGCCUGAAUCAGUGUGUGUGUUAGUGGAAGCGUCUGGAAAGGCGCGCGAUACAGGGUGACAGCCCCGUACACAAAAAUGCACAUACUGUGAGCUCGAUGAGUAGGGCGGGACACGUGGUAUCCUGUCUGAAUAUGGGGGGACCAUCCUCCAAGGCUAAAUACUCCUGACUGACCGAUAGUGAACCAGUACCGUGAGGGAAAGGCGAAAAGAACCCCGGCGAGGGGAGUGAAAAAGAACCUGAAACCGUGUACGUACAAGCAGUGGGAGCCUCUUAAUGGGGUGACUGCGUACCUUUUGUAUAAUGGGUCAGCGACUUAUAUUCUGUAGCAAGGUUAACCGAAUAGGGGAGCCGAAGGGAAACCGAGUCUUAACUGGGCGUUAAGUUGCAGGGUAUAGACCCGAAACCCGGUGAUCUAGCCAUGGGCAGGUUGAAGGUUGGGUAACACUAACUGGAGGACCGAACCGACUAAUGUUGAAAAAUUAGCGGAUGACUUGUGGCUGGGGGUGAAAGGCCAAUCAAACCGGGAGAUAGCUGGUUCUCCCCGAAAGCUAUUUAGGUAGCGCCUCGUGAAUUCAUCUCCGGGGGUAGAGCACUGUUUCGGCAAGGGGGUCAUCCCGACUUACCAACCCGAUGCAAACUGCGAAUACCGGAGAAUGUUAUCACGGGAGACACACGGCGGGUGCUAACGUCCGUCGUGAAGAGGGAAACAACCCAGACCGCCAGCUAAGGUCCCAAAGUCAUGGUUAAGUGGGAAACGAUGUGGGAAGGCCCAGACAGCCAGGAUGUUGGCUUAGAAGCAGCCAUCAUUUAAAGAAAGCGUAAUAGCUCACUGGUCGAGUCGGCCUGCGCGGAAGAUGUAACGGGGCUAAACCAUGCACCGAAGCUGCGGCAGCGACACUAUGUGUUGUUGGGUAGGGGAGCGUUCUGUAAGCCUGUGAAGGUGGCCUGUGAGGGUUGCUGGAGGUAUCAGAAGUGCGAAUGCUGACAUAAGUAACGAUAAAGCGGGUGAAAAGCCCGCUCGCCGGAAGACCAAGGGUUCCUGUCCAACGUUAAUCGGGGCAGGGUGAGUCGACCCCUAAGGCGAGGCCGAAAGGCGUAGUCGAUGGGAAACAGGUUAAUAUUCCUGUACUUGGUGUUACUGCGAAGGGGGGACGGAGAAGGCUAUGUUGGCCGGGCGACGGUUGUCCCGGUUUAAGCGUGUAGGCUGGUUUUCCAGGCAAAUCCGGAAAACCAAGGCUGAGGCGUGAUGACGAGGCACUACGGUGCUGAAGCGACAAAUGCCCUGCUUCCAGGAAAAGCCUCUAAGCAUCAGGUAACAUCAAAUCGUACCCCAAACCGACACAGGUGGUCAGGUAGAGAAUACCAAGGCGCUUGAGAGAACUCGGGUGAAGGAACUAGGCAAAAUGGUGCCGUAACUUCGGGAGAAGGCACGCUGAUAUGUAGGUGAAGCGACUUGCUCGUGGAGCUGAAAUCAGUCGAAGAUACCAGCUGGCUGCAACUGUUUAUUAAAAACACAGCACUGUGCAAACACGAAAGUGGACGUAUACGGUGUGACGCCUGCCCGGUGCCGGAAGGUUAAUUGAUGGGGUUAGCGGCAACGCGAAGCUCUUGAUCGAAGCCCCGGUAAACGGCGGCCGUAACUAUAACGGUCCUAAGGUAGCGAAAUUCCUUGUCGGGUAAGUUCCGACCUGCACGAAUGGCGUAAUGAUGGCCAGGCUGUCUCCACCCGAGACUCAGUGAAAUUGAACUCGCUGUGAAGAUGCAGUGUACCCGCGGCAAGACGGAAAGACCCCGUGAACCUUUACUAUAGCUUGACACUGAACAUUGAGCCUUGAUGUGUAGGAUAGGUGGGAGGCUUUGAAGUGUGGACGCCAGUCUGCAUGGAGCCGACCUUGAAAUACCACCCUUUAAUGUUUGAUGUUCUAACGUUGGCCCGUAAUCCGGGUUGCGGACAGUGUCUGGUGGGUAGUUUGACUGGGGCGGUCUCCUCCUAAAGAGUAACGGAGGAGCACGAAGGUUGGCUAAUCCUGGUCGGACAUCAGGAGGUUAGUGCAAUGGCAUAAGCCAGCUUGACUGCGAGCGUGACGGCGCGAGCAGGUGCGAAAGCAGGUCAUAGUGAUCCGGUGGUUCUGAAUGGAAGGGCCAUCGCUCAACGGAUAAAAGGUACUCCGGGGAUAACAGGCUGAUACCGCCCAAGAGUUCAUAUCGACGGCGGUGUUUGGCACCUCGAUGUCGGCUCAUCACAUCCUGGGGCUGAAGUAGGUCCCAAGGGUAUGGCUGUUCGCCAUUUAAAGUGGUACGCGAGCUGGGUUUAGAACGUCGUGAGACAGUUCGGUCCCUAUCUGCCGUGGGCGCUGGAGAACUGAGGGGGGCUGCUCCUAGUACGAGAGGACCGGAGUGGACGCAUCACUGGUGUUCGGGUUGUCAUGCCAAUGGCACUGCCCGGUAGCUAAAUGCGGAAGAGAUAAGUGCUGAAAGCAUCUAAGCACGAAACUUGCCCCGAGAUGAGUUCUCCCUGAGACUUAGAGUCUCCUGAAGGAACGUUGAAGACGACGACGUUGAUAGGCCGGGUGUGUAAGCGCAGCGAUGCGUUGAGCUAACCGGUACUAAUGAACCGUGAGGCUUAACCUUACAACGCCGAAG